This 76-nucleotide transfer RNA is filed under the name Caudoviricetes sp. RNAcentral describes it as "tRNA-Gln". It matches the Rfam family "tRNA". Rfam says of the family: Transfer RNA (tRNA) molecules are approximately 80 nucleotides in length. The record is from RNAcentral. Lineage: Duplodnaviria; Heunggongvirae; Uroviricota; Caudoviricetes.
AGGGCUGUAGUCAAGCGGUUAAGACUCGACACUUUGACUGUCGCAUACGUGGGUUCAAAUCCCACCAGCCCCGCUA